RNAcentral lists this ribosomal RNA (329 nucleotides) under uncultured eukaryote. RNAcentral describes it as "partial 18S ribosomal RNA". It matches the Rfam family "Eukaryotic small subunit ribosomal RNA", at positions 1470 to 1796 of the family's 1831-position model. The record is from RNAcentral.
CCCUUAGAUGUUCUGGGCCGCACGCGCGCUACACUGAUGCAUUCAACGAGUCUAAAACCUGCUCUGAUAGGGGUGGGUAAUCUUUUGAAUGUGCAUCGUGAUUGGGAUAGAUGAUUGCAAUUUUUCAUCUUCAACGAGGAAUGCCUAGUAAACGCAAGUCAUCAGCUUGCAUUGAUUACGUCCCUGCCCUUUGUACACACCGCCCGUCGCUUCUACCGAUUGAAUGAUCCGAUGAAUAUCAUGGAUUGAGGAUGCAAGUAGGUUCGCCUAUCUUCAUCUUCGAGAAGUGAAGUAAAUCUUAUCAUUUAGAGGAAGGAGAAGUCGUAACA